This 68-nucleotide transfer RNA is filed under the name Mesocricetus auratus (golden hamster). It matches the Rfam family "tRNA". Rfam says of the family: Transfer RNA (tRNA) molecules are approximately 80 nucleotides in length. Their secondary structure includes four short double-helical elements and three loops (D, anti-codon, and T loops). Lineage: Eukaryota; Metazoa; Chordata; Mammalia; Rodentia; Cricetidae. The record is from Rfam by way of RNAcentral.
GGCUAGCUCAGUUGUAGAGUGUGGGACUCUUAAUCCCAAGGUUGUGGGUUCAAGUCCCACAGUGGCUG